GUCGGGCACAGUGGUACAUGCCUGUAGUCCCAGCUACCUGGGAGGCUGAGGCAGGAGGACUGCUUGAGCCCAGGAGAUCUGGGUUGUAGAGCACUAUGCCAAUCAGGUGUCCACACUGAGGUCAGCAUCAGUAUGAUGACCUGGCAGUGGGGGACCACCAGGUUGCCUAAGGAGGGGUGAACCGGCCCAGGUCAGAAACAGAGCUGGUCAAAACUCCUGUGCUGAUCAGUAAUGGGAUGGUGCCUAUGAACAGCCACUGCACUCCAAUCUGGGCAACAUAGCAAGACCCCAUCUCUA
This is an unclassified non-coding RNA of Macaca fascicularis (crab-eating macaque), 297 nucleotides long. It matches the Rfam family "Metazoan signal recognition particle RNA". From Rfam's summary of the family: The signal recognition particle (SRP) is a universally conserved ribonucleoprotein. The record is from Ensembl. NCBI's taxonomy places the organism in Eukaryota, Metazoa, Chordata, Mammalia, Primates, Cercopithecidae.